Molecule: ribosomal RNA, 484 nt
Filed under: uncultured bacterium
Lineage: Bacteria
Description: bacterial SSU rRNA
Rfam family: Bacterial small subunit ribosomal RNA
Source: RNAcentral
AUUGAACGCUGGCGGCAUGCCUUACACAUGCAAGUCGAACGGCAGCGGACCUUCGGGUGCCGGCGAGUGGCGAACGGGUGAGUAAUAUAUCGGAACGUACCUUUCAGUGGGGGAUAACGUAGCGAAAGUUACGCUAAUACCGCAUAUUCUGUGAGCAGGAAAGCAGGGGAUCGCAAGACCUUGCGCUGAUUGAGCGGCCGAUAUCAGAUUAGCUAGUUGGUGAGGUAAAGGCUCACCAAGGCGACGAUCUGUAGCGGGUCUGAGAGGAUGAUCCGCCACACUGGAACUGAGACACGGUCCAGACUCCUACGGGAGGCAGCAGUGGGGAGUUUUGGACAAUGGGCGCAAGCCUGAUCCAGCCAUGCCGCGUGAGUGAAGAAGGCCUUCGGGUUGUAAAGCUCUUUCGGCCGGGAAGAAAUCGGCACAGGUUAAUACCCUGGUGUGGAUGACGGUACCGGAAUAAGAAGCACCGGCUAACUACGUG